GGAAGGAUCAUUAUUGAAAUAAACCUGAUGGGUUGUUGCUGGCUCUCUAGAGAGCAUGUGCACGCCUUGUCAUCUUUAAAUCUCCACCUGUGCACCUUUUGUAGACCUUUUCAGGUCUAUGUUGUCUCAUUUACCCCAAUGUAUGUUAAUAGAAUGUUGUGACUAUAUAAUAUAUACAACUUUCAGCAACGGAUCUCUUGGCUCUCGCAUCGAUGAAGAACGCAGCGAAAUGCGAUAAGUAAUGUGAAUUGCAGAAUUCAGUGAAUCAUCGAAUCUUUGAACGCACCUUGCGCUCCUUGGUAUUCCGAGGAGCAUGCCUGUUUGAGUGUCAUUAAUAUAUAUAUCAACCUUCUCUUGUUGAAUGGUUUGGAUGUGGGGGUUUGCUGGCCUCUUAAAAGGAUUCAGCUCUCCUGAAAUGCAUUAGCAGAACAAAACCUGUUCAUUGGUGUGAUAACUAUCUACGCUAUUGAAUGUGAGGUGGCAGUUCAGCUUUCUAACAGUCCCUUGGGACAACUCAUCAUUAAUGUGACCUCAAAUCAGGUAGGACUACCCGCUGAACUUAAGCAUAUCAAUAAGCGGAGGAA
This 584-nucleotide small RNA is filed under the name uncultured fungus. Its description in RNAcentral is "eukaryotic LSU rRNA". The stretch from base 178 to 331 matches the Rfam family "5.8S ribosomal RNA". Lineage: Eukaryota; Fungi. The record is from RNAcentral.